CCUAAAAAGGAAUCUCCUCCUUGCACCAAAUUGUAUGUUGUUCUUAAGGAUGCGACAGCCACAAAAACGUUCCCAACGGUUGCAGAGGUUGAAUGCAAGGGAGAGGAGAAGUUUAAUAUCGAUUUAAUGGCUCCUCCACCUCUGAAAUCA
This is a long non-coding RNA of Telopea speciosissima, 150 nucleotides long. RefSeq lists it as uncharacterized. The transcript is spliced from 3 exons. The record is from RefSeq and is a predicted model, not a curated record. NCBI's taxonomy places the organism in Eukaryota, Viridiplantae, Streptophyta, Magnoliopsida, Proteales, Proteaceae.